CAGAAAACAGAGAUAAUUCCUCUUACGUGAGCACUGGAACUAGCAGCAGGAAGGAAAAUAAAUAUUUGGACAGAUUCUAAAUAUGCAUUCGGUGUGGUGCAUGCUCAUGGAGCGAUUUGGAAAGAACAAAUUUUAAAAUUGUUAGAGGUGGUAAAACAACCAGAAAAGGUAGCUAUCAUGCAUUGUCGGGGACACCAAAAGGGGAACACCGAUUUUGAAAUUGGAAAUCGAUUGGCAGAUCAAGAGGCUAAGCGGGUAGCUG
Long non-coding RNA from Oxyura jamaicensis (ruddy duck), 262 nucleotides. RefSeq lists it as uncharacterized. The record is from RefSeq and is a predicted model, not a curated record. Lineage: Eukaryota; Metazoa; Chordata; Aves; Anseriformes; Anatidae. The transcript has 2 exons.